ACAGCGGGAAGCCACCUGGCGACAGGGCGCGGAACCCGAAAACCUGUCUCAGUUCGGAUUGGAGUCUGCAACCCGACUCCAUGAAGCUGGAUUCGCUAGUAAUCGCGCAUCAGCCACGGCGCGGUGAAUACGUUCCCGGGCCUUGUACACACCGCCCGUCAAGCCAUGGAAGCCGGGAGUGCCUGAAGUGCGUGACCGCAAGAAGCGUCCUAAGGCAAUACCGGUGACUGGGGCCAAGUCGUAACAAGGUAUC
This 253-nucleotide ribosomal RNA is filed under the name uncultured bacterium. RNAcentral describes it as "partial 16S ribosomal RNA". It matches the Rfam family "Bacterial small subunit ribosomal RNA", at positions 1239 to 1500 of the family's 1533-position model. The record is from RNAcentral.